CUCCGGUUGAUCCCGCCGGACCCGACUGCUAUCAGAGUGGGACUAAGCCAUGCGAGUCAACAUAGCAAUAUGUGGCAUACGGCUCAGUAACACGUAGUCAACAUGCCCAGGGGACGUGGAUAACCUCGGGAAACUGAGGAUAAACCGCGAUAAGUCACUACUUCUGGAAUGGGUAAUGACUCAAAUCUACAUGGCCCCUGGAUUGGACUGCGGCCGAUCAGGCUGUUGGUGAGGUAAUGGCCCACCAAACCUGUAACCGGUACGGGCUCUGAGAGGAGGAGCCCGGAGAUGGGCACUGAGACAAGGGCCCAGGCCCUAUGGGGCGCAGCAGGCGCGAAACCUCUGCAAUAGGCGAAAGCUUGACAGGGUUACUCUGAGUGAUGCCCGCUAAGGGCAUCUUUUGGCACCUCUAAAAAUGGUGCAGAAUAAGGGGUGGGCAAGUCUGGUGUCAGCCGCCGCGGUAAUACCAGCACCCCGAGUGGUCGGGACGAUUAUUGGGCCUAAAGCAUCCGUAGCUUGUUCUGCAAGUCCUCCGUUAAAUCCACCUGCUCAACAGAUGGGCCGCGGAGGAUACUACAGGGCCAGGAGGCGGGAGAGGCAAGCGGUACUCAGUGGGUAGGGGUAAAAUCCUCUGAUCCACUGAAGACCACCAGUGGCGAAGGCGGCUUGCCAGAACGCGCUCGACGGUGAGGGAUGAAAGCUGGGGGAGCAAACCGGAUUAGAUACCCGGGUAGUCCCAGCUGUAAACGAUGCAGACUCGGUGAUGGGUUGGCUUUGAGCCAACCCAGUGCCGCAGGGAAGCCGUUAAGUCUGCCGCCUGGGGAGUACGGUCGCAAGACUGAAACUUAAAGGAAUUGGCGGGGGAGCA
RNAcentral lists this ribosomal RNA (868 nucleotides) under uncultured archaeon. Its description in RNAcentral is "bacterial SSU rRNA". It matches the Rfam family "Archaeal small subunit ribosomal RNA", at positions 1 to 878 of the family's 1478-position model. The record is from RNAcentral.